UUAUGAUAGAUCCUCAAAUUA
RNAcentral lists this non-coding RNA (21 nucleotides) under Caenorhabditis elegans. The record is from RNAcentral. Lineage: Eukaryota; Metazoa; Nematoda; Chromadorea; Rhabditida; Rhabditidae.